GUGGGGAAUAUUGGGCAAUGGGGGGAACCCUGAUCCAGCCAUGCCGCGUGUGUGAAGAUGGCCUUUUGGUUGUAAAGCACUUUAAGCGGGGAGGAGGCUCUUGAGGAUAAUACCCUUGAUGAGUGGACGUUACCCGCAGAAUAAGCACCGGCUAACUCUGUGCCAGCAGCCGCGGUAAUACAGAGGGUGCGAGCGUUAAUCGGAUUUACUGGGCGUAAAGCGUGCGUAGGCGGCUGAAUAAGUCGGAUGUGAAAUCCCCGAGCUUAACUUGGGAAUUGCAUACGAUACUGUUUGGCUAGAGUAUGGGAGAGGAUGGUAGAAUUCCAGGUGUAGCGGUGAAAUGCGUAGAGAUCUGGAGGAAUACCGAUGGCGAAGGCAGCCAUCUGGCCUAAUACUGACGCUGAGGUACGAAAGCAUGGGGAGCAAACAGGAUUAGAAACCCCUGUAGUCC
This 451-nucleotide ribosomal RNA is filed under the name uncultured bacterium. RNAcentral describes it as "partial 16S ribosomal RNA". It matches the Rfam family "Bacterial small subunit ribosomal RNA", at positions 354 to 796 of the family's 1533-position model. The record is from RNAcentral.